UACGUAGGGUGCGAGCGUUAAUCGGAAUUACUGGGCGUAAAGCGUGCGCAGGCGGUUUUGUAAGGCAGAUGUGAAAUCCCCGGGCUUAACCUGGGAAUGGCAUUUGGGACUGCAAGGCUGGAGUGCGGCAGAGGAGACUGGAAUUCCUGGUGUAGCAGUGAAAUGCGUAGAUAUCAGGAGGAACACCGAUGGCGAAGGCAGGUCUCUGGGCUGACACUGACGCUCAUGCACGAAAGCGUGGGGAGCAAACAGG
RNAcentral lists this ribosomal RNA (253 nucleotides) under uncultured bacterium. RNAcentral describes it as "partial 16S ribosomal RNA". It matches the Rfam family "Bacterial small subunit ribosomal RNA", at positions 524 to 776 of the family's 1533-position model. The record is from RNAcentral.